UGAGACCUCUGGGUUCUGAGC
RNAcentral lists this microRNA (21 nucleotides) under Callithrix jacchus (white-tufted-ear marmoset). RNAcentral describes it as "cja-miR-769". Its record names the gene cja-miR-769. RNAcentral also lists the same sequence under 4 other names. Lineage: Eukaryota; Metazoa; Chordata; Mammalia; Primates; Cebidae. The record is from miRBase by way of RNAcentral.